UUCUCUUUCUGUGUUUCUCUUCCGUGGUGGAGAUUUCAAGUCCCCUCAUUAUACUUUUUCAGUUGCGUCAGUCCCUUUCAUUAUCUAAGGAGCCUCACUGACGUUUGCUAGACCUGUGGACGAUAUUACUGUUCCCUGAGGAUGCAUCCUCUCCCACUCAAUUAUUCGCGCACCUAUAAAUCCCAUGAGCUCUCUGCCUUCCAUACACUCCUGUCAUAUCAUUUUCUGGGGGUGGGAGAGAGGAGGAGAAAGAAGUGCACAAUGAGUUGGAAGAGCAUGAUAUUGAUAAUUGGUGGACCUGGUUAUCUUGGUAAAUUCAUGGUAAAGGCGAGUAUUUCAUGGGGUCAUCCAACCUAUGUCUACAGUCGACCUUCUACUAAGGCCUCCGAUUCUUCUUCCAAGAUUCAAGUCAUCCACGAUUUUGAAUCCAUGGGAGUUCAUAUUAUCCAGGGGUACAUGGAUGAAUAUGAUAAGCUGCUUUCGGUGCUUCAUAAAGUUGAUGAUGUGAUCUCAUUGUUGCCCAUUCCCCAACAUUUAGAGCAACUCAUACUCAUAAAUGCCAUCAAAGAAGUGGGGAACAUUAAGAGGUUUAUCCCUUCAGAGUUUGGCAUCGAAGCAGGCAAAGCAUAUGGUUUGCCUCCAUUACAAAGAAUAAGUGAUACUAAGAAGAAAAUUAGAAGCGCUAUCAAAGAGGCCAGGAUUCCACACACUUUUAUUACUGGGAAUUCUUUUGGUGCUCACUUUGUAGAUUACUUGCUAAAUCCUCAGCAACAAAUGGAUGAAAUUACAAUCUAUGGGGAUGGCUGAGCAAAAGCUGUGAUGACCUUUGAGGAAGACAUUGCUGCUUUCACAAUAAGGGCAGUUGAUGAUAUCCGCACACUCAACCGCGUUGUCAUCUGCAAACCACCGAAGAACGUCAUUUCUCAGCUUGAUUUGAUCUCUUUGUGGGAGAAAAGAUGUGGAAAGAGUCUAACGAGAAACUUUCUCUCAGAAGACCAAAUAAUUAAACUCACUGAGACACUUCCUCAUCCUGAGAACGUGGCACCGGCUAUCCUGCACUAUUUCUUUGUUGCAGGUCAGUCCAACUUGGAAUUGGAAGAGGAUGACUUGGAGCUGUCGCAUCUUUACCCAGACUACAACUACACUCCCAUUGCCGAUCUCAUUGACGUUUUUGCUGUUAAACCACUACAGAUUAAAAGGUCAGCCCUUGGAUGAUUGGAAUUCCCACAAACACUGGGACUCUUUGUUGGCUUUUCUUUUGUCCUGUUUGAUGACAUUGCCCUGGUUUGUAUCAAACAUUUGAAUAUGCAACUUAUUCCAUCAUGGCACGUUGCAUAA
Amborella trichopoda is the source of this 1338-nucleotide RNA transcript. It is a transcript of the gene named isoeugenol synthase 1, with no coding region annotated. The record is from RefSeq and is a predicted model, not a curated record. NCBI's taxonomy places the organism in Eukaryota, Viridiplantae, Streptophyta, Magnoliopsida, Amborellales, Amborellaceae.